GGUUGACCUCGGAUCAGGUAGGGAUACCCGCUGAACUUAAGCAUAUCAUAAAAGGC
Molecule: ribosomal RNA, 56 nt
Filed under: Nannizzia fulva
Lineage: Eukaryota; Fungi; Ascomycota; Eurotiomycetes; Onygenales; Arthrodermataceae
Description: partial 28S ribosomal RNA
Source: RNAcentral